RNAcentral lists this ribosomal RNA (460 nucleotides) under uncultured bacterium. RNAcentral's name for it is "partial 16S ribosomal RNA". It matches the Rfam family "Bacterial small subunit ribosomal RNA", at positions 338 to 795 of the family's 1533-position model. The record is from RNAcentral.
CCUACGGGAGGCAGCAGUGAGGAAUAUUGGUCAAUGGGCGCGAGCCUGAACCAGCCAAGUAGCGUGAAGGAUGACUGCCCUACGGGUUGUAAACUUCUUUUAUAUAGGAAUAAAGUGAGGCACGUGUGCCUUUUUGUAUGUACUUUAUGAAUAAGGUUCGGCUAACUCCGUGCCAGCAGCCGCGGUACUACGGAGGAUCCGAGCGUUAUCCGGAUUUAUUGGGUUUAAAGGGAGCGUAGAUGGGUUGUUAAGUCAGUUGUGAAAGUUUGCGGCUCAACCGUAAAAUUGCAAUUGAUACUGGCAGCCUUGAGUACAGUAGAGGUAGGCGGAAUUCGUGGUGUAGCGGUGAAAUGCUUAGAUAUCACGAAGAACUCCGAUUGCGAAGGCAGCUUACUGGACUGCCACUGACACUGAGGCUCGAAAGUGUGGGUAUCAAACAGGAUUAGAUACCCUUGUAGUC